CCCUUAGAUGUUCUGGGCCGCACGCGCGCUACACUGAUCGAUUCAACGAGUUUUGAAAUAAUUUUUUGAUUUUUUCAUAUCCUUUGUCGGAAGGCAUGGGUAAUCUUUUAAAUGUCGAUCGUGAUGGGGCUAGAUUCUUGCAAUUAUUAAUCUCCAACGAGGAAUUCCUAGUAAACGCAAGUCAUCAGCUUGCAUUGAUUACGUCCCUGCCCUUUGUACACACCGCCCGUCGCUCCUACCGAUUGAGUGGUCCGGUGAGGCUUUGGGAUCUGAGCGGAAAGAGCGUUUCGCUGUUUCUGCUCGGAAAACUCAGUCGAACCUUAUCAUUUAGAGGAAGGAGAAGUCGUAACA
This 351-nucleotide ribosomal RNA is filed under the name uncultured eukaryote. RNAcentral describes it as "partial 18S ribosomal RNA". It matches the Rfam family "Eukaryotic small subunit ribosomal RNA", at positions 1470 to 1796 of the family's 1831-position model. The record is from RNAcentral.